UUGAACUGCCAACCUUCUGAUCGGCAAGUCCUAGGCUCUGUGGUUUAACCCACAGCGCCACCUGCACCCCCCAUUUAGCAUGUAAUGUCCUAAAAACAUAACUGUAGGAUAGUUUAGAUGGUGCUAUGGGCUCUUCGAGGAAGGUGGUUCUUAGGUUCACUUUUUUACGCAGACUCUUCAUUGGCUUGCUAUGCCUGUUCUAGCACGACACCAUAAGAACCUCCUCAAUGAAAUAAACUGGGUUAUGUGCACACCCUUGUACGUCCAGGUUCUAGGUAGUUCUGGCUGGUGCUCGUGGAGACUGGUAGGGCGGAAGGGAAGGAGACCACCAGCAGGACAGUGACAUUGGUGGGGCAGUGCCCUGUACCCCCUAAUGGACCGGCUCCAUUGGUUGGAGGAUCCUAUGCCCAACACUGCCUGGGCCCAGGGUGUAGUGCCCCCCCCCCCAUUUCUUCAAAGCUCUCUCUGGCAGCCCAUGGGUAUUUUAGCCAUCAAAUUGAAAUGCUGUUCUAAGAAUAACAUCAGUAACCUUUCAGAGAUCUUGAGCCUUUCCUCCUAUUCGAAUCUUUCAUUGUCCCUGGAGAGCUCUGGUUUCAAACUCGGGCCGCCGCUGGUACCUGAUACUUUUCCUCCUUCCGAGAAGAGAAGGAGGGUUUCCACUACCGUCAGCACAUUGGGCAGGCUUUCGCAAACAUAACACCUCCUGGUAUUUUCCAGCGCUUGGGAAGUGCUGAAAUUGCAACCAUCUACCCAAGGGAGGCUGUUUCUCUUUUCAGCUCCCCAGACCGAAAUGGAUUUGCAUUUCCCUCAGCAGGUGUGACCAAAAGUGACUUGGCUGUCAUGCAUGUGCGUAUAUCAACCUGCAAAGGAGAAUCCAGUGUGUAAAAAAAGAGAACCUUUAAAGGCAUCUCUCUGUUCUGAUGUUCAAGGUGUUCGUCAUUCCUUAUGGUGCCACUGUGCCACUGCCCAUGCCCUAGAGGAGGAUGUCCUGGUAUGCUUGAGGAAUUCUUGAGAUUUGCAGAAGUACAAAUCAACAUUUUUUUGUGGGAGGUUCCCUAAAGAGGGGCACCCCCUGCUAAACGAAAACAAAAAACCAGGUCAACAAGGUUUAAUCAUAAUAGGCCUAGAAUGCUGACUGACUUGGAAACGGGCAAGUAAAUUGAUUGGAAAUGACAAAUGGAGUAUUGUGAGACGGCAUUGCUAGUUAGUUGGAACUGAACAAGAGCGCCUGACAAUGCAACGUUUUCUUGCAGCUCCCUCCCUUUCUGGUAUUUCAGCCUGGAGUCCAAACUGCAGAGUUCCAUGAUUGCAUCUCUUUCCAUCUCAUGCUACAGAAGCAGCUGCCAGUUCCAGCUAGAAGUUGGUUGGGAGACUUCUUAAGCUGUCCUGUAGCCAGUUUCCUAGUCCAGUAUUGCUUACUCUGACUGGCAGCAGUUCUGUGGGGUUGAAGCUGAGAGAGAUCUUUCUUAUAAUCUGCUACAUGUUCCUUUCAACUGGAGAUUGUGGGUUGCAUGCAGUUGCUCUACCACUUGGCUAUUAAUCCCUCCUCUUUUUAUUUCUCUCAGAAACAUAACAAGCUGCUGUUACAGAGUCAAGUCCAUCUAGCUCUCUAUUGCCUAUACCUUGUGUAGGGGAACCUUUGGCCUUCCAGAUGUUGCUUCACUACAAUUCCCAUCAUUCCUGGCCAUUGGCCAUGCUUGCUGAGGGUAAUGGGAGUUGUAAUUCAGCAGUAUCUGAAGGGCCAAAGGUUCCCCAAACCUGGCCUAUAACUGACCAAGCAAUACCUCCCCACCCCCAGGGCUUCAGAGAUGAGUGUUUCCCAAUGCUACCUGGAGAUAUGCAGGAUUGAACCUGGGGUUUUCUGUAUGCAAAGCAGAUGCAAAUUUAGAGUUGCCAGAUGGUUGUUUGCGGCUGGUUGAUAGCAAGAUCAAGUAGAUGGUUGCAUCUGUGCUGUGGCCAUCAUAGAACAAGUGGCUCAGUUUGGAAUUUUAAUACCUUGGACAGGACUCUGUUGAGGAGGGAGUUGGUGUGCACAGUGUCCUGAUUUCAAUUCCCACCAUCUCCACUUUUGUUUUGUUUUUAACUCUGGUGGGGAGCUGCUGUUACCAGUUAGUGUAAACUAGGGAUGUAUCAACUUACGUUAUCUAGAUGGUGUUGGACUCUAGGCCCUGUCGGCCUGACCUGUAGUCAGAGAUGACUGUGAAUAAGAUCUAUAUACCACAUAAUGCUAAAAUAGGCUUCUGAGCAGUUUCCAAAGAAGAAACACUGGGUACACAGACUAUAAAAUAUAAAUGCCUGGAAUUAAAAUCUACAAUAAAACAAUUCAGGAAUUAAAACAGGAGGACAAAGAGACUGUGUGAACAGGUGUGUCUUUCAAAAGCAGGUGGAAUGCCAAUACAGAUAGACCUUAUAGUGCAGCAACAAUGGUGCAAGACUAUGUAAGAUAUCUUCAUAGGUGGAGACAUUUAGCAUUUCUAAACAUUAAGUGAUAUUGAUGGAAUCAGGCUUCAGUUUGUCUCUCCCUCAUAGCCAAUCUUUCUGCUGGCAUACUGCACAAGUUGUCCCAGGAAGAUGGGACAUCCCGUUUCCUCACAUGAGGGCACGGCGGCCAUUUUGGGUGUUGAGAUCUUGCCCGAAAAAAGCACUCCCUCCCCCCCCCCAAAAAAAACAGGUGGGGGGCCCUGCAAUCUUGUGUGGGCCAUGUGACUCGCACAGGAACACGCUUCAGGCGCUCAGACUGCAACCUACCUUCAUGGACCCUGCCUCAAUUGCCAAUCAAUAGUUGUCACAGGAACAUGCCGUCAGCAUAGAAAUCCGAAAAACGACAGCCAGGUGUGGGUGAAUGGAACCAGCUGCAGCCACUGACACAUCACCCAAAUAGAGGUCAUCCACUAACAGUGAGCACCUGGACAGCAGACCAAAGAGAACACAUGGGGGACCCAGUCACAAUCUUCCCUGCUGUGAUUUUCUGCUGCUCUAGGUUCCACGCCUCGCUCCUGGUUCGGCUAGUUGGAGAUGUGGCCGCUCAUUAGGGCUUUUAAGAAGGAUCGAGAUGCGAGCGUUUUCCAAAAGCACCGGAGAAGCACCAUCCCCUCCCCAAAUGUGCUGCCGCAUAUCCAGGUGCUGACUCGAGAGGCUGAACAGGGUUCCCUUGUUGACGAGAAGCCGGGCCUGUGCUGUAAUUGGAUCCUGGAGGACGAGGAGAGUGUGCAGAACAUCUCAUGCUGUUUGGGAGCAUGGCCAGGGUGUGUAUGUGUGGGGAGAGACACGCUCCCUUGAACAAAAACAAAGCUGAAACAAAGGUGUUACAGGCUGCUGCUGGAAUAGCCUCAAAAUAUACACUAUACUUUUAAAGGAUAUUUCUGAGGAGAGUUGGGAAAGGUUCAGAAAAGGGCAACAACAAUUAUCAAGGUGGUGAAAUACUCCCCUAUGAGGAAAGGUUGCAACAUUUGUGAUUUUUUUUAGUUUAAAAGCAAUAAAGAAAGAA
Non-coding RNA from Podarcis muralis (Common wall lizard), 3487 nucleotides. The record is from RefSeq and is a predicted model, not a curated record. NCBI's taxonomy places the organism in Eukaryota, Metazoa, Chordata, Lepidosauria, Squamata, Lacertidae.